RNAcentral lists this ribosomal RNA (876 nucleotides) under uncultured Gemmatimonadota bacterium. Its description in RNAcentral is "bacterial SSU rRNA". It matches the Rfam family "Bacterial small subunit ribosomal RNA", at positions 56 to 904 of the family's 1533-position model. Lineage: Bacteria; Pseudomonadati; Gemmatimonadota. The record is from RNAcentral.
UGCAGUCGAACGAGGACCGGGUGCUUGCAUCCGGAGCCGAGUGGCGAACGGGUGAGUAACACGUGACCAAUCUGCCCUUGGGAGAGGGAUAACCUGGGGAAACCCGGGCUAAUACCGCAUGAUGUGCGGCCAUCGCAUGGUGGCGGCAGCAAAGGGGGGCCUCUAUUUUGUAAGCUCCCGCCCAGGGAGGAGGUCGCGGCGUAUCAGCUUGUUGGUGGGGUAACGGCCUACCAAGGCGACGACGCGUAGCGGGUCUGAGAGGACGAUCCGUCACAUUGGGACUGAGAUACGGCCCAGACUCCUACGGGAGGCAGCAGUGGGGAAUAUUGCGCAAUGGUCGAAAGACUGACGCAGCGACGCCGCGUGUGGGAGGAAGCCUUUCGGGGUGUAAACCACUGUCAGGUGGGAAGAAACACGCACGUCCAAACAGGGCGUGCGCUUGACGGUACCACCAGAGGAAGCGCCGGCUAACUCCGUGCCAGCAGCCGCGGUAAGACGGAGGGCGCGAGCGUUGUUCGGAAUUACUGGGCGUAAAGCGCGGGCAGGUGGUCCGUUAAGUCUUCUGUGAAACUCCGGGGCUCAACCCCGGACAUGCAGGAGAUACUGGCGGACUAGAGACCGGUAGAGGCCAGUGGAAUUCCUGGUGUAGCGGUGGAAUGUGUAGAUAUCAGGAAGAACACCAGUGGCGAAGGCGGCUGGCUGGGCCGCGUCUGACACUCAUCCGCGAAAGCGUGGGGAGCAAACAGGAAUAGAUACCCUGGUAGUCCACGCCGUAAACGAUGGGCACUAGGUGCCGGUCCCAUAGACGGGUUCGGUGCCGGAGCUAACGCAUUAAGUGCCCCGCCUGGGGACUGCGGCCGCAAGGCUGAAACUCAA